Rhamnusium bicolor is the source of this 76-nucleotide non-coding RNA. The record is from the annotation of a GenBank genome assembly. Lineage: Eukaryota; Metazoa; Arthropoda; Insecta; Coleoptera; Cerambycidae.
GGCUUCAUGGUCGAGUGGUAAAUACACUUGCCUCUCAUUCUGGAGUGCCUGGUUCGAUUCCCCGGUCGAGAAGCUA